Y RNA from Pongo abelii (Sumatran orangutan), 106 nucleotides. It matches the Rfam family "Y RNA". Rfam says of the family: Y RNAs are components of the Ro ribonucleoprotein particle (Ro RNP), in association with Ro60 and La proteins. The Y RNAs and Ro60 and La proteins are well conserved, but the function of the Ro RNP is not known. The record is from Ensembl. Lineage: Eukaryota; Metazoa; Chordata; Mammalia; Primates; Hominidae.
GGCUGGUCUGAAGGUAGUGAGUUAUCUCAGUUGUUCAGUUAGUUACAGGUUGAACGCCUUGUUCUACUCUUUCCCCUUUUUCACUGCUGCACUUGACUAGUCUUUA